CUAGGACGAACGCUGGCGGCGUGCCUAACACAUGCAAGUCGAGCGGUCUUAUUGAUGAAAGCUUGCUGGAUUCGAUGAGAUAGCGGCGGACGGGUGAGUAACGCGUGAGCAAUCUGUCCCUCACAGGGGGAUAAUACCGCGAAAGUGGUUCUAAUACCGCAUGAGACCACGGAUGGGCAUCCAUUUGGGGGUCAAAGGAGCAAUCCGGUGAGGGGUGAGCUCGCGUCCGAUUAGAUAGUAGGUGAGGUAACGGCCCACCUAGUCGACGAUCGGUAGCCGACCUAAGAGGGUGAUCGGCCACAUUGGGACUGAGACACGGCCCAGACUCCUACGGGAGGCAGCAGUGGGGAAUAUUGGGCAAUGGGGGGAAACCCUGACCCAGCAACGCCGCGUGGAGGAAGAAGGUCUUCGGAUCGUAAACUCCUGUCCUAAGGGAAGAGGAGAAGACUGUACCUUAGGAGGAAGCCCCGGCUAACUACGUGCCAGCCGCAGC
This 493-nucleotide ribosomal RNA is filed under the name uncultured bacterium. Its description in RNAcentral is "bacterial SSU rRNA". It matches the Rfam family "Bacterial small subunit ribosomal RNA", at positions 26 to 518 of the family's 1533-position model. The record is from RNAcentral.